This 29-nucleotide non-coding RNA is filed under the name Mus musculus (house mouse). Lineage: Eukaryota; Metazoa; Chordata; Mammalia; Rodentia; Muridae. The record is from RNAcentral.
UGACCAGCUGGUACCUCCUCUUGGACUGU